UACGUAGGUGGCAAGCGUUGUCCGGAUUUACUGGGCGUAAAGAGCGCGCAGGCGGCCGAGUAAGUCGAAUGUGAAAGCCCCCGGCUCAACUGGGGAACGUCAUUCGAUACUGUUCGGCUCGAAGAUAGGAGAGGGAAGCGGAAUUUCAGGUGUAGUGGUGAAAUGCGUAGAUAUCUGAAGGAACACCAGUGGCGAAGGCGGCUUUCUGGCCUAUUCUUGACGUUGAGGCGCGAAAGCUAGGGGAGCGAACGGG
RNAcentral lists this ribosomal RNA (253 nucleotides) under uncultured bacterium. RNAcentral's name for it is "partial 16S ribosomal RNA". It matches the Rfam family "Bacterial small subunit ribosomal RNA", at positions 524 to 776 of the family's 1533-position model. The record is from RNAcentral.